This 497-nucleotide ribosomal RNA is filed under the name uncultured bacterium. RNAcentral's name for it is "partial 16S ribosomal RNA". It matches the Rfam family "Bacterial small subunit ribosomal RNA", at positions 28 to 507 of the family's 1533-position model. The record is from RNAcentral.
GAUGAACGCUGGCGGCGUGCCUAAUACAUGCGAGUCGAGCGAACGGACGAGAAGCUUGCUUCUCUGAUGUUAGCGGCGGACGGGUGAGUAACACGUGGAUAACCUACCUAUAAGACUGGGAUAACUUCGGGAAACCGGAGCUAAUACCGGAUAAUAUUUUGAACCGCAUUGUUCAAAAGUGAAAGACGGUCUUGCUGUCACUUAUAGAUGGAUCCGCGCUGCAUUAGCUAGUUGGUAAGGUAACGGCUUACCAAGGCAACGAUGCAUAGCCGACCUGAGAGGGUGAUCGGCCACACUGGAACUGAGACACGGUCCAGACUCCUACGGGAGGCAGCAGUAGGGAAUCUUCCGCAAUGGGCGAAAGCCUGACGGAGCAACGCCGCGUGAGUGAUGAAGGUCUUCGGAUCGUAAAACUCUGUUAUUAGGGAAGAACAUAUGUGUAAGUAACUGUGCACAUCUUGACGGUACCUAAUCAGAAAGCCACGGCUAACUACGUG